GACUAACGCUGGCGGCGUGCCUAACACAUGCAAGUCGAACGGGCUUAUCAUUGGUAGCAAUAUCGAAGAUAAGCUAGUGGCGAACGGGUGAGUAACACGUAGGUAAUCUACCCUCGAGACGGGAACAACCCAGGGAAACUUGGGCUAAUGCCCGAUAAGACCACGAGACGGGAGUUUUGGGGUCAAAGGCUGGGCGAAAGUUUGGCGCUUGAGGAUGAGCCUGCGGCCUAUCAGCUAGUUGGUAGGGUAAGAGCCUACCAAGGCGAAGACGGGUAGCCGGCCUGAGAGGGCGAUCGGCCACACUGGGACUGAGACACGGCCCAGACUCCUACGGGAGGCAGCAGUGAGGAAUUUUCCGCAAUGGGCGCAAGCCUGACGGAGCGACGCCGCGUGAGGGAAGAAGGCUUUCGGGUUGUAAACCUCUUUUGUGGGGGAAAAAGGUCCGGGUAUGUAUAGUAUCCGGGUUUGAUGGUACUCCAUGAAUAAGCCCCGGCUAACUACGUGCCAGCAGCCGCGGUAAUACGUAGGGGGCGAGCGUUGCCCGGAGUUACUGGGCGUAAAGGGCGUGUAGGCGGUUGGAUAGGUCUGGUGUGAAAUGCCGGAGCUUAACUCCGGCACUGCGCUGGAAACUAUCUGACUGGAGUUCGGUAGGGGUUACUGGAAUCCCCGGUGUAACGGUGAAAUGUGUAGAUAUCGGGGGGAACACCUGUGGCGAAGGCGGGUAACUGGGCCGCAACUGACGCUGAGACGCGAAAGCGUGGGUAGCAAACAGGAUUAGAUACCCUGGUAGUCCACGCUGUAAACGAUGAGUGCUAGGUGUAGGGGGUAUCGACUCCUUCUGUGCCG
This 846-nucleotide ribosomal RNA is filed under the name uncultured bacterium. Its description in RNAcentral is "bacterial SSU rRNA". It matches the Rfam family "Bacterial small subunit ribosomal RNA", at positions 28 to 848 of the family's 1533-position model. The record is from RNAcentral.